UGUGCCACUGUCGCAGAUGGAUGAGCCUGCGUUGGAUUAGCUAGUUGGUGGGGUAAGGGCCUACCAAGGCUACGAUCCAUAGCUGAUUUGAGAGGAUGAUCAGCCACAUUGGGACUGAGACACGGCCCAAACUCCUACGGGAGGCAGCAGUGAGGAAUAUUGGACAAUGGGGGCAACCCUGAUCCAGCAAUGCCAUGUGUGUGAAGAAGGCCUUAGGGUUGUAAAGCACUUUAGUUGGGGAAGAAAGCUUUGAGGUUAAUAGCCUUGAGGAAGGACGUUACCCAAAGAAUAAGCACCGGCUAACUCCGUGCCAGCAGCCGCGGUAAUACGGGGGGUGCAAGCGUUAAUCGGAAUUACUGGGCGUAAAGGGUCUGUAGGUGGUUUGUUAAGUCAGAUGUGAAAGCCCAGGGCUCAACCUUGGAACUGCAUUUGAUACUGGCAAACUAGAGUACGGUAGAGGAAUGGGGAAUUUCUGGUGUAGCGGUGAAAUGCGUAGAGAUCAGAAGGAACACCAAUGGCGAAGGCAACAUUCUGGACCGAUACUGACACUGAGGGACGAAAGCGUGGGGAUCAAACAGGAUUAGAUACCCUGGUAGUCCACGCUGUAAACGAUGAGUACUAGCUGUUGGAGUCGGUGUAAAGGCUCUAGUGGCGCAGCUAACGCGAUAAGUACUCCGCCUGGGGAACUACGGCCGCAAGGCUAAAACUCAAAGGAAUUGACGGGGACCCGCACAAGCGGUGGAGCAUGUGGUUUAAUUCGAUGCAACGCGAAGAACCUUACCUGGUCUUGACAUCCUGCGAGCUUUCUAGAGAUAGAUUGGUGCCUUCGGGAACGCAGUGACAGGUGCUGCAUGGCUGUCGUCAGCUCGUGUUGUGAAAUGUUGGGUUAAGUCCCGCAACGAGCGCAACCCCUAUUGAUAUUUACCAUCAUUAAGUUGGGUACUUUAU
RNAcentral lists this ribosomal RNA (948 nucleotides) under Francisella endosymbiont of Dermacentor auratus. Its description in RNAcentral is "bacterial SSU rRNA". It matches the Rfam family "Bacterial small subunit ribosomal RNA", at positions 202 to 1143 of the family's 1533-position model. The record is from RNAcentral. Lineage: Bacteria; Pseudomonadati; Pseudomonadota; Gammaproteobacteria; Thiotrichales; Francisellaceae.